GCGCCUGUAGCUCAGUGGAUAGAGCGUUAGACUACGGAUCUAAAGGUCAUGGGUUCAAAUCCUUUCAGGCGUGCCA
Molecule: transfer RNA, 76 nt
Filed under: Candidatus Fokinia solitaria
Lineage: Bacteria; Pseudomonadati; Pseudomonadota; Alphaproteobacteria; Rickettsiales; Candidatus Midichloriaceae
Also listed under: 1 other name
Description: tRNA-Arg
Rfam family: tRNA
About the family: Transfer RNA (tRNA) molecules are approximately 80 nucleotides in length. Their secondary structure includes four short double-helical elements and three loops (D, anti-codon, and T loops).
Source: RNAcentral